Molecule: ribosomal RNA, 468 nt
Filed under: uncultured bacterium
Lineage: Bacteria
Description: partial 16S ribosomal RNA
Rfam family: Bacterial small subunit ribosomal RNA
Source: RNAcentral
GACGAACGCUGGCGGCGUGCUUAACACAUGCAAGUCGAACGGAAAGGCCCUGCUUUUGUGGGGUGCUCGAGUUGCGAACGGGUGAGUAACACGUGAGUAACCUGCCCUUGACUUUGGGAUAACUUCAGGAAACUGGGGCUAAUACCGGAUAGGAGCUCCUGCUGCAUGGUGGGGGUUGGAAAGUUUCGGCGGUUGGGGAUGGACUCGCGGCUUAUCAGCUUGUUGGUGGGGUAGUGGCUUACCAAGGCUUUGACGGGUAGCCGGCCUGAGAGGGUGACCGGCCACAUUGGGACUGAGAUAAGGCCCAGACUCCUACGGGAGGCAGCAGUGGGGAAUAUUGCACAAUGGGCGGAAGCCUGAUGCAGCAACGCAGCGUGCGGGAUGACGGCCUUCGGGUUGUAAACCGCUUUCGCCUGUGACGAAGCGUGAGUGACGGUAAUGGGUAAAGAAGCACCGGCUAACUACGUG